RNAcentral lists this ribosomal RNA (253 nucleotides) under uncultured bacterium. RNAcentral's name for it is "partial 16S ribosomal RNA". It matches the Rfam family "Bacterial small subunit ribosomal RNA", at positions 524 to 776 of the family's 1533-position model. The record is from RNAcentral.
UACGGGGGGGGCAAGCGUUGUUCGGAAUUACUGGGCGUAAAGGGCUCGUAGGUGGCCAACUAAGUCAGACGUGAAAUCCCUCGGCUUAACCGGGGAACUGCGUCUGAUACUGGAUGGCUUGAGUUUGGGAGAGGGACGCGGAAUUCCAGGUGUAGCGGUGAAAUGCGUAGAUAUCUGGAGGACCACCGGUGGCGAAGGCGGCGUCCUGGACCAACACUGACACUGAGGAGCGAAAGCCAGGGGAGCAAACGGG